GAUCAUGGCUCAGGAUGAACGCUGGCGGCGUGCCUAACACAUGCAAGUCGAACGAGAUGCUUAUCGGAAAGCUUCGGCCGGAAGAUAAGUUAUCUAGUGGCGGACGGGUGAGUAACACGUGGGUAACCUGCCUUAUGGAGGGGGAUAACAGAGAGAAAUCACUGCUAAUACCGCAUAAGCACACAGUACCGCAUGGUACAGGGUGAAAAGAUUUAUCGCCAUAAGAUGGACCCGCGU
Molecule: ribosomal RNA, 237 nt
Filed under: uncultured bacterium
Lineage: Bacteria
Description: partial 16S ribosomal RNA
Rfam family: Bacterial small subunit ribosomal RNA
Source: RNAcentral